GAAAUGCGAUACGUAAUGUGAAUUGCAGAAUUCAGUGAAUCAUCGAAUCUUUGAACGCACAUUGCGCCCGCCAGUAUUCUGGCGGGCAUGCCUGUUCGAGCGUCAUUUCAACCAUCAAGCCCCCGGCUUGUGUUGGGGACCUGCGGCUGCCCGCAGGCCCUGAAAAACAGUGGCGGGCUCGCUGUCACACCGAGCGUAGUAGCAUACAUUCUCGCUCAGGGCGUGCUGCGGGUUCCGGCCGUUAAACGACCUUCAUAACCCAAGGUUGACCUCGGAUCAGGUAGGAAGACCCGCUGAACUUAAGC
RNAcentral lists this unclassified non-coding RNA (305 nucleotides) under plant metagenome. Its description in RNAcentral is "partial contains 5.8S ribosomal RNA, internal transcribed spacer 2, and large subunit ribosomal RNA". The stretch from base 1 to 105 matches the Rfam family "5.8S ribosomal RNA", at positions 50 to 154 of the family's 154-position model. The record is from RNAcentral.